UCUAGAGAAUAAUUUUAGGUGUUUGAGAAGUUCAUUGAAUAAACCUACAAGGUAAUCCCCAAGUCUAAUUUGAGAUAUUUUUCUAGGUGAAUGGAGCAUAAGUUUGGAGGCUGUUCCAGCAAAGAACUAGUUCUUUGAAACUUGAGUAUGUCCUGAUUGGGAGGUUGGGCAGAUAUGUAAAGGAGUAUAGCAAUCGUGUGCAUGAACAUAGAGCAUAAGUAUGCUAGUAGAGUUGGUUUACAAUUGUUACAUUCUUUAUUCUGCUGCACCUGGGGAGCUUGUUAAUUCACAAUAAAUAGUUCUUUAUAUGUUGACAAUAGUUUGAAAAUUGAAACAAAACAGUGUCACUGAGGAUAAAAAUUCUCUUGACAAUGGCUUUUUUAUAUUCAAAUUAAACAUGAAGUAGAUAUGGGGAAAAUCCUUGAAAUUGGGCCAUUUUAUUUUGGAAGUAGACUAAUUUUAGUGAGAAGAUGGCAGUUGUACAUGCAUUUGACUAAGAGUGAAUUCUCUUUUGUGCACAUUCCGAUGAAAUAAUGAAAUUUCUUAGUGUUUUUUCAAUUGUGAUGUCUAAUAUGUUAUAGUAAGGUCUUAAAUUUGAAGGAGUGGGUAUUUGAAGAUUAUGGGUGUUGACCUGUAGGUAAUAUAUCCUUACAUAUUUGCCACACUAGCAUGAGCUUUGCUUUGACAAAUAUGACGAUGAUUUGACUAAGAAAUUGUUUGAAUUUUAUUUUGUGUCAACAUUAAUUAGAGAAUUGUGUCAAGAUGCGAAGCUACUGCCUUGCAACGUCAAUUUCAAGCUAUGAAGUUACUGCCUUCCAAUGCUAAUGAUUUCAUUGUUAUUAAUCAUUGAUUAUGUCUAUCAAGAAAAAAACUUUAACCAUGAGAAUCUCUUGGUUGAGAAUUUUUAUUUUUAAAUUUUUUUUUGUGCUAUUAUGUUGCACUGCUCAAAUGCUUUAAUCUUGUGAUUGUUUGAUUAUGAAUCAGGAAAUAUAUGAUGCCCAUUGAGUCCAUACCUUUCCAUGAAAUCAUCUGCUUUAAAAAUGUCGACAAACUUCAAGUAGUAAGUAUUUUUGUAAUAUUGAAACUAAGAAAUAGAAAUCAAAUGGAAAAUGUUCACUGACUACUUAUUGUUGUUAAGAUAGUGCAAAAUUUUGGUAACUACACAAGUCAUUUAAGAAGCUACAUAUGAGUUGAUAGGUUCUAUUGAUUUCUAUAUUAUAUUUUGAUAUAAUGUGUAAGUAGUUUAAUUGUAACGGUGAUGGUGGUGGUGUAACCAGACUGUCUUGUCUUCCUCUCCAUAUCUUUUUGUCCUUUGGGUUAAUUUUUAUUUCAUUAUUUAUUUUUUAACGGGAAAAAUUUCAUUGAUAGUUUUAUUGUAAGCAGGGGGAACUAAAGUUUGUUGGAAGCCUUCAACCUACUUCCCAGUGCUGUAAAGAGUACAUGAUUGGUCUUGCAUGUGUUGUAUUGCAUGCAGUUGAUCUCCCCCCCCCCAUAUUUUUAUGUUAGACAAAUUCAUCCAUGCAAUUUAAAUAUCUUGAUUUUUUUUUUUUGAAAAUUUAAUCUUAAGAACUAUUGAUGAUCUGUUACUAAACCUAAAAUUGAUUGGGCUUCACAAUUUGGUAGGGUUGCUGAUUUCGUGGUGGCAAAUUCCGAUCCUUUCAUACCUAUAAGUCAAAAGACUCGUAGGUCUUGUCAUUUCUGGAAGUGGCUAAGUGGGCUUAUCUGUUCGUCAAUCUUCAAUUGCUCAUGAAAUUUCUGAACUUAUUAAGAGACCUAAGCUUGAGGCAAGAAUUUGUUAUGACCCAGAAGAUUUUUGGCUGGAUUUAGAAAGGUUUUGCACUUGAGCAUCUUGGUUAUCUGCAUUCCAUUUUCUGAAUCUGAUCUGCGCAAGGCCUCUGAAUCAUUGAAAAGAGUUGCAGCAUCGGUUUUGGCGGCUCAUGACUGAAUUGAAGAGUGCACAUCAGAUUUCAUUUUAUUUUUCCAAUGAUAUUUUAGACAUUUCUUUGAUUGCAUCAACAGAAAAACUCGGGAAUUUUUGUUUCUUGGUAGAUGCUUUCAUAGUAUUUGUAUGUAUAAUUAGUUUGAAUUGCAUCUUUUGUGCCGAUUUGUUUUGCAAUAACUUUCAACUUACAACUAGGCACUAGUUUAACUUUAUUUCAUCUUGGAAUUGAAAUAUUUUUGCAUAUUGAAAAGCAUGAAUUGA
Non-coding RNA from Camellia sinensis, 2203 nucleotides. The record is from RefSeq and is a predicted model, not a curated record. NCBI's taxonomy places the organism in Eukaryota, Viridiplantae, Streptophyta, Magnoliopsida, Ericales, Theaceae.